GCAGUAUCAGAUUUUGCAGUAGUAUAUAUAUGGCAUGAAAAAUAUGGAAUUUGUUUGCAUGAGCAUGUAUACUUGCAAAGCAGGGAAAAAGAAUUCAUUUUAUAACAUGUUCAACCAUGAUAAACAUGAAAUCUGUUUCCAUAGUAUGCAAAAUGUUGAUUAAGCUGCAAGAUAUAUGGUUCCAAAUUCCCAAACAUUCAGAAGGCAUAAGUGAAUUUAUAUUAGCAAACUGAACAACAACUGGUUCUUCAAAACUUGAAAUCACCAUACACAAGAUUACAGAAAGAAAGUAAGAAGGUAAAUAAGACUAUGAGAACCAAAGGGCAUAUACAUUUAAGAACAUUCAAAUGGCAUUUGUUGUAAAAUGCAGAAAAGUAAAUGUAAACGUAUUCUUUAAUCCAUAACAUUGUGUCUGCUUUGGCAUUGAGGUUGACACUUUCUUUUGACCAAG
RNAcentral lists this unclassified non-coding RNA (451 nucleotides) under Hevea brasiliensis (rubber tree). Lineage: Eukaryota; Viridiplantae; Streptophyta; Magnoliopsida; Malpighiales; Euphorbiaceae. The record is from RNAcentral.